UACUGAAAGAUGGCUGAGAUUUUUUCCACAGAUUUGUGGAGUCAAGAGGAACAUCUAGGAACAUUGUCUGCUGUUAUCUGGACGUGUCAAUGCGUGGAUGUCAAUGCAUGGAUGCCAGGUGGAAUCCAGUUGUGUAAAAGCCAGGAGGUGCCAAGUAUUCUCACCUGGGAAAUGAGAUCAUUCAGCAUCUCACUGGAUUAGCCUGUGGCAACUGGGACUACUGAGGACAACCUAUUUAAUAAAUACCAUUCAGUUUCCAAAGACAGGUGGCAAUCUACUAGAAAACUAAGUUUACAAAUUAACCGUAAUUAUUAAUUAGGACUGAAAAUAAGGUCUACGUAUAAAGUAAAAUCAGUGUUUUGCUCAGGAGAAAAAGAAAUGGUACCGAGCUCCUUCAGAAACAAAAACAUACCCAGCCUGUGCAACAAGUGCAGAGUUGAAGUUUGAGCUAAAGGCCGAGGCAAACCCUGGCAGGACCGGAGCCGGAGAUGGGGCUGUGGCAGCUGCCGGCAAUGGUGCAACUGCUGCUACUGCAGAGGAUGCCUGGAGGCCAGGGAAAGAAGGGAGAGCAGGAGUGACAGAGGGUGUGUUAGAGACAGGAAAACCAGGGAAGGAUGGGUUUGAUGAUCCCAGAGGUCCCUGGGCAACAGAAAAAAGGGAAGGGACGGCACUGGACAAGUUAAGCGAAAAGGGUGGAGCAGAGACUGUUGCUGAGGCGGCGAGUCCUGAGAGUACGGCGGCUGUGGAAUUCACAUGAGGGGCAGACACAGCUGAAGCAGUAGUAGCCGGAGUAGCUAACAAAGACCCUGGGAGAGUGACGGGUGGCGUAAGUGCUGGAUUACCAGUAAAAGCAAAGUUACUGGUUAGAGAUGUGAAAGGAGGAAGUCCAUUAAAUACAGGGGCAAUGGGAGCGGUGGAGCCAUGUGGGGCGAGGGAAAUGGAAGCCAGAGAACUGGAGUUGUUUAGAGGAGCACUCAAAGAGGAGAGACCCGAUAGUGCUGGAUUCAGGGAGCUGGGUAAACUGACUGGCACUGACGCUGCUGAGGUGUACGCACGCCCGAGCGCUGAGAGCCCUAUAGUGCCAUGAGAAGGGCCAGCUGAGUGAGAAGGACCUUUGAAGGCUGAGAGGGUAGGACUCAUGGGUUCUGUUUUGAUCAGAACUUGUGGGAUACUUGUGGCAGCUGGGGUUGAUGAGAGUUGCUGGUCGGGAUUAGUAGGACUUGUGCCAUGCAAGAGGGAGGCUGAUGAGCCACAGUUGACUGGCAUAACUGAUGGUGAAGUGGUUAAAGGUGACUGUGCAGGCAAUGUUGGAGGAGUGGAACUAGAGUUGGUCACAGAUGGGGAUGGAAGACCUGGAAAAAUGGCCAACCCGGGCGUGGAGGAACGCUGUGAGGUGGGGGUGGCUGAUGGAGUAUAACAUUUGACAGAGGAUGUGGGAGGGUCAGAGCUUUGAUUAGCAAGAACAGAUAAAGAAGCAAGUUCACUUGUCAUAGCAGAAGGUAAAGCAGAUGAAUUGAUUAAUGAAGUGUCAUUUGAUGUCAGAAAUCCCUUUAAGACAGACAAAAUAGGGUUAGGCAAGCUAAGUGAACCAGGAAUGGUGGUGGCAGGAGAAUUAGCAAUUGUUGAGGGAACAGGACUAGAAAUCCCUUGGACAUUGGGUGGCAAGGACAGAGGGAGUCCAGCAAAAACUGAUGACAAUGGAGUGGGAUUGCUAGCUGAAGCAACUGAAGAGGCUGCAGAAAAAGGGAGACCAGCAAAUGGUGUAGGAGCAGAUGCAAAAGCUUCACUAGGUGCAGGUGUAGCACACGGUGUAGAAGAGCCUUGUGGAGCUGGUGUAGCAGAGGGUAUAGAAGCCAGCCCAGAGAAAACCGCAGGAAUGGGAGUAGAGGUUGCACUGUGUACAGAUGUGACAGGAACACCAGGUAAUGAAAGGGAUUUGAUGACUGUAGGGGUUGGGGUGGAUGGCUGAGAUGUAUGGAUGGAGGAGGAGACCUGUCCCGGGAAAACAGGAAGGACAGGGGUAGACAUGUUCAUCCCAGAGAUGAGUGGAGUUGCAGGUGCUAAUGGAUGGCUUAUUGCCUUGACAGGUGAUGGGGUAGGGACUGGAGUAGCAGCAGGUGUUGAAGGAUUAGAACCAUGAGGAGUAAAGAGCUGAUUCGUUUGUGCAGAAAAAGCUGG
RNAcentral lists this long non-coding RNA (2178 nucleotides) under Gallus gallus (chicken). Its description in RNAcentral is "long non-coding RNA NONGGAT001282". The record is from RNAcentral. Lineage: Eukaryota; Metazoa; Chordata; Aves; Galliformes; Phasianidae.